This 272-nucleotide signal recognition particle RNA is filed under the name Candidatus Woesearchaeota archaeon. Its description in RNAcentral is "signal recognition particle sRNA". It matches the Rfam family "Archaeal signal recognition particle RNA". The record is from RNAcentral. Lineage: Archaea; Nanobdellati; Candidatus Woesearchaeota.
AUGCAGGCUAGGCUGGGGAGUUGGCCCUUCCCUGUAACAGUAAACGGGCCUCAUGAUUGGGCUGAAUGCCUGGGAGCGGUGUAUGUCAAGCUGCAAGCCUUGGCGUAAACGUAGACGCUCUGUCCUGUAGGAUUGAUGCUUAUGGGAACCGGUUCAGAUCCUGACGGAUGCAGACCUAACUGUUUGUAUUGAUGCUUGCAGGGUAGCGGAGCCGAGAAUACGCUGAGAUAAACCUGUAGUUUCGGUAUGCAUCCAUCCCGGGAUGCCUGCGC